Molecule: ribosomal RNA, 494 nt
Filed under: uncultured bacterium
Lineage: Bacteria
Description: bacterial SSU rRNA
Rfam family: Bacterial small subunit ribosomal RNA
Source: RNAcentral
UCAGGAUGAACGCUGGCGGCGUGCUUAACACAUGCAAGUCGAACGAAGCAUUGUUCGGAUUCUUCGGAUUGAAGAACUUAUGACUUAGUGGCGGACGGGUGAGUAACGCGUGGGGAACCUGCCCCAUACCGGGGGACAACAGCUGGAAACGGCUGCUAAUACCGCAUAAGCGCACGGAACGGCGUCGUUCAGUGUGAAAAAACUCCGGUGGUAUGGGAUGGCCCCGCGUUGGAUUAGGCAGUUGGCGGGGUAACGGCCCACCAAACCGACGAUCCAUAGCCGACCUGAGAGGGUGACCGGCCACAUUGGGACUGAGACACGGCCCAAACUCCUACGGGAGGCAGCAGUGGGGAAUAUUGCACAAUGGGGGAAACCCUGAUGCCAGCGACGCCGCGUGAGUGAGGAAGUAUUUCGGUAUGUAAAGCUCUAUCAGCAGGGAAGAAAAUGACGGUACCUGCACAAGAAGCCCCGGCUAACUACGUGCCAGCCGCCGC